This 497-nucleotide ribosomal RNA is filed under the name uncultured bacterium. RNAcentral describes it as "partial 16S ribosomal RNA". It matches the Rfam family "Bacterial small subunit ribosomal RNA", at positions 28 to 507 of the family's 1533-position model. The record is from RNAcentral.
GAUGAACGCUGGCGGCGUGCCUAAUACAUGCAAGUCGAGCGAACGGACGAGAAGCUAGCUCCUCUGAUGUUAGCGGCGGACGGGUGAGUAACACGUGGAUAACCUACCUAUAAGACUGGGAUAACUUCGGGAAACCGUAGCUAAUACCGGAUAAUAUUUUGAACCGCAUGGUUCAAAAGUGAAAGACGGCCUUGCUGUCACUUAUAGAUGGAUCCGCGCUGCAUUAGCUAGUUGGUAAGGUAACGGCUUACCAAGGCAACGAUGCAUAGCCGACCUGAGAGGGUGAUCGGCCACACUGGAACUGAGACACGGUCCAGACUCCUACGGGAGGCAGCAGUAGGGAAUCUUCCGCAAUGGGCGAAAGCCUGACGGAGCAACGCCGCGUGAGUGAUGAAGGUCUUCGGAUCGUAAAACUCUGUUAUUAGGGAAGAACAUAUGUGUAAGUAACUGUGCACAUCUUGACGGUACCUAAUCAGAAAGCCACGGCUAACUACGUG